RNAcentral lists this ribosomal RNA (459 nucleotides) under uncultured bacterium. RNAcentral's name for it is "bacterial SSU rRNA". It matches the Rfam family "Bacterial small subunit ribosomal RNA", at positions 29 to 481 of the family's 1533-position model. The record is from RNAcentral.
AUUGAACGCUGGCGGCGUGCCUAACACAUGCAAGUCGAUCGGUAACAGGUGUAGCAAUACAUGCUGACGAGAGGCGGACGGGUGAGUAACGCUUGGGAAUCUGCCUUUUAGUGGGGGACAACCCGGGGAAACUCGGGCUAAUACCGCAUACGCUCUACGGAGGAAAGCCGGGGACCGCAAGGCCUGGCGCUAAUAGAUGAGCCCAAGUCGGAUUAGCUAGUUGGUAGGGUAACGGCCUACCAAGGCGACGAUCCGUAGCUGGUCUGAGAGGACGACCAGCCACACUGGGACUGAGACACGGCCCAGACUCCUACGGGAGGCAGCAGUGGGGAAUAUUGGACAAUGGGGGAAACCCUGAUCCAGCGACGCCGCGUGGGUGAAGAAGGCCUGCGGGUUGUAAAGCCCUUCGGUGGGGAAGGAAAGCCUCGACCUAACACGUCGGGGUAUUGACGUAACCCA